CCCUUAGAUGUUCUGGGCUGCACGCGCGCUACACUGACACACUCAGCGAGUCUCCUGGCCCGAGAGGGUUGGGUAAUCAUGUGAGCGUGUGUCGUGAUGGGGAUAGAAUAUUGUAAUUAUUCCCCAUGAACGAGGAAUUCCCAGUAAGCGCGAGUCAUCAUCUCGCGUUGAUUACGUCCCUGCCCUUUGUACACACCGCCCGUCGCUACUACCGAUUGAAUGGUUUAGUGAGAUCCUCGGAUUGGCCAUCUCGGCGUGACUUCGGUUGUGCACGUGGUGGCCGAGAAGACGAUCAAACUUGAUCAUUUAGAGGAAGUAAAAGUCGUAACA
This 330-nucleotide ribosomal RNA is filed under the name uncultured eukaryote. Its description in RNAcentral is "partial 18S ribosomal RNA". It matches the Rfam family "Eukaryotic small subunit ribosomal RNA", at positions 1470 to 1796 of the family's 1831-position model. The record is from RNAcentral.